AGAGUUUGAUCAUGGCUCAGAUUGAACGCUGGCGGCAGGCCUAACACAUGCAAGUCGAGCGGUAGCACAGAGAGCUUGCUCUCGGGUGACGAGCGGCGGACGGGUGAGUAAUGUCUGGGAAACUGCCUGAUGGAGGGGGAUAACUACUGGAAACGGUAGCUAAUACCGCAUAAUGUCGCAAGACCAAAGUGGGGGACCUUCGGGCCUCAUGCCAUCAGAUGUGCCCAGAUGGGAUUAGCUAGUAGGUGGGGUAAUGGCUCACCUAGGCGACGAUCCCUAGCUGGUCUGAGAGGAUGACCAGCCACACUGGAACUGAGACACGGUCCAGACUCCUACGGGAGGCAGCAGUGGGGAAUAUUGCACAAUGGGCGCAAGCCUGAUGCAGCCAUGCCGCGUGUGUGAAGAAGGCCUUCGGGUUGUAAAGCACUUUCAGCGGGGAGGAAGGCGAUAAGGUUAAUAACCUUGUCGAUUGACGUUACCCGCAGAAGAAGCACCGGCUAACUCCGUGCCAGCAGCCGCGGUAAUACGGAGGGUGCAAGCGUUAAUCGGAAUUACUGGGCGUAAAGCGCACGCAGGCGGUCUGUCAAGUCGGAUGUGAAAUCCCCGGGCUCAACCUGGGAACUGCAUUCGAAACUGGCAGGCUAGAGUCUUGUAGAGGGGGGUAGAAUUCCAGGUGUAGCGGUGAAAUGCGUAGAGAUCUGGAGGAAUACCGGUGGCGAAGGCGGCCCCCUGGACAAAGACUGACGCUCAGGUGCGAAAGCGUGGGGAGCAAACAGGAUUAGAUACCCUGGUAGUCCACGCCGUAAACGAUGUCGAUUUGGAGGUUGUGCCCUUGAGGCGUGGCUUCCGGAGCUAACGCGUUAAAUCGACCGCCUGGGGAGUACGGCCGCAAGGUUAAAACUCAAAUGAAUUGACGGGGGCCCGCACAAGCGGUGGAGCAUGUGGUUUAAUUCGAUGCAACGCGAAGAACCUUACCUGGUCUUGACAUCCACAGAACUUUCCAGAGAUGGAUUGGUGCCUUCGGGAACUGUGAGACAGGUGCUGCAUGGCUGUCGUCAGCUCGUGUUGUGAAAUGUUGGGUUAAGUCCCGCAACGAGCGCAACCCUUAUCCUUUGUUGCCAGCGGUCCGGCCGGGAACUCAAAGGAGACUGCCAGUGAUAAACUGGAGGAAGGUGGGGAUGACGUCAAGUCAUCAUGGCCCUUACGACCAGGGCUACACACGUGCUACAAUGGCAUAUACAAAGAGAAGCGAUCUCGCGAGAGCAAGCGGACCUCAUAAAGUAUGUCGUAGUCCGGAUUGGAGUCUGCAACUCGACUCCAUGAAGUCGGAAUCGCUAGUAAUCGUAGAUCAGAAUGCUACGGUGAAUACGUUCCCGGGCCUUGUACACACCGCCCGUCACACCAUGGGAGUGGGUUGCAAAAGAAGUAGGUAGCUUAACCUUCGGGAGGGCGCUUACCACUUUGUGAUUCAUGACUGGGGUGAAGUCGUAACAAGGUAACCGUAGGGGAACCUGCGGUUGGAUCACCU
Molecule: ribosomal RNA, 1528 nt
Filed under: Klebsiella pneumoniae BIDMC 31
Lineage: Bacteria; Pseudomonadati; Pseudomonadota; Gammaproteobacteria; Enterobacterales; Enterobacteriaceae
Description: bacterial SSU rRNA
Rfam family: Bacterial small subunit ribosomal RNA
Source: RNAcentral